Molecule: long non-coding RNA, 221 nt
Organism: Archocentrus centrarchus (flier cichlid)
Lineage: Eukaryota; Metazoa; Chordata; Actinopteri; Cichliformes; Cichlidae
Exons: 3
Source: RefSeq, a predicted model, not a curated record
CAGUGAGGAUGAUAAAAAGAAAAAGAAGAAGAAAAAGGACAAGAAGAAGAAGAAGAAGAAGGACUCCAGCUCCUCUUCUUCAGAUAGCUCUUCUUCAUCAUCUUCUUCUGACAGUGAGGAUGAUAAAAGAAAAAGAAGAAGAAAAAGGACAAGAAGAAGAAGAAGAAGAAGGACUCUAGCUCUUCUUCAUCAUCUUCUUCUGACAGUGAUGAUGAUAAAAA